Molecule: long non-coding RNA, 674 nt
Organism: Saccostrea cuccullata (small rock oyster)
Lineage: Eukaryota; Metazoa; Mollusca; Bivalvia; Ostreida; Ostreidae
Exons: 3
Source: RefSeq, a predicted model, not a curated record
CGUUAUGUAUGUUGAGAUCGUUAUCAAGUCCGGAUUCCUUCUUAAACUUAAUGACAAAUGUUUGUUUUUAUGGCCUUUAGAUGCAUUCGGCAACUUGAUUUCAGUGUCACAGUGCUGUUUUUUUUCAGUCCAAAGAGCCCGAAGCUGAUAAGACUGGCGAUUGAUCCUGAAGCUGAUUUGACAGACGAUUGCAUUGUAGACAUAAAGGUUCAAUAUACAGUCAGCCUCUCAUAAGAUAAAGAACAAAUCCCAAGAUCCAAGGCUUGCUUCAAAGUUAAGAGACCAUUCUGUGCCACAAAGAAAUUGUUCAGGAAGAGGAGAAGUGGUGGAUAUUCAUUUUUGGUACGGUACAGUUCAAAGAGAUUUUCAAAAUGGUCAUGGAAGAUCAAAGGGAGGACAAAUGAAAAAACUGAAAGAUACAGAAGGAAAAAGAGCAAAGAAAUAUAUGGAAUAAUUAUGAAAUGGGGAGGAUGUACACAAUCUUGUCUGAAUUUGACGUGUGAAGAUUUCCCAUAUUCUUAUUGUAUGCUGGAAUAAUCAAUAACUUGAUUUUUCAUAAAUUUACAAUAGAGAAUACAUGACAAAUGUUAUUGCUGAUAUUUCAAUUUUGCUUUGGACACUUUCAUGUCAUGUGGUAUUUUUAUACAUUACCUAAUUAUGUUAUUCAUUUGUAC